Non-coding RNA from Dicentrarchus labrax (European seabass), 614 nucleotides. The record is from the annotation of a RefSeq genome assembly. Lineage: Eukaryota; Metazoa; Chordata; Actinopteri; Moronidae.
AGGAAACAGCAUGAUAUGUUGAGGACAGCUACAGUUCACUGACUCUGUGUGUUUGCAUAUGUGUCCUUCCUCUCUGCUCCCAGCCUUUAAGAGGCCAGUGUUGAUCAGUGGCUGUCCAGGCCUUUCAGAGCCACUGACACGCCGGCAGCACAAUGAUGAUGUCACUGACUCUACUGCUGGCCACCCUGGGGCUCCUUGUUCAGGGUUCAUCAGGACAAAUCACCCUGACUCAGUCUCCUGGAACUCAGUCUGUUGUUCCAGGACAGACUGUCUCUAUCAGAUGUAAAACCAGUUCAAGUGUUGGUAGCAACCUCCACUGGUACCUUCAGAAACCUGGAGAAGCUCCUAAACUCCUGAUUUAUUUAGCUUCAAACCGUCAGUCUGGAGUUUCAAGUCGUUUCAGUGGAAGUGGAUCUGGUUCUGACUACACUCUGACCAUCAGUGGAGUUCAGGCUGAAGAUUCAGGAGUUUACUACUGUCAGCAGAGUAACAGCUUCCCGUUCACACAGUGAUACAACGUCGUACAAAAACCUCCCUCAGCUGGAGAGGAACUGAUCUGACUCAACAGCUGCACUGACACUAAAACAACAGAGGUUUCACUAAAAACAUACUUA